UAUGUUUGCAUUGUUUGCAUAUGUUUGCUUGUUUAAUGACUCUAUUUGAGGAUAUGAGUAUUAAAUAUGCAGAGGCAUUUAGUAUGCAAUGUUGAAUAAUAAUUUUAGUGAUUUGUUACAGUAUAAAAUGAUAAGGUUUUGCAUUGGUUUAUACUAACCUAUCUCACGAGUUCUUGUUGAGUUUGGUGUGGAUGAAGCUUUUUGAUAAAAAGAAGCAACUGCAUAUGAGAGGGGAAUGGAGGCAGCUCGCCAACACGCUGCUGCUCAGGAGGCGGUCGCCUCUACAUCUCAGUAUUACCCCAGUUUUACUUAUGGAUAUCAGCCAGGCGGUCAUUGGUAUUAAACCAACUUAGGCCAAAAGCCUAAGCUUGGGGGAGUACGUAUCUCUCACCGACUUUACAUUCAUGUUCACACACUAGUUGUCGAUGCUCAUACUCUUUCAUUGUAUUAUCCAUGCUAGUUUAAAAUUCUUUUUCUAGUUUUCUUCUUGUGUGUUUGAGAAAAAAACCUUAAGAAAAAACCAAAAAAAUUAGUUAGUUUAAUUUCGUUGCUUGUAGUAGAAAUUAAAAUGAAAACUCAAAAAGAUUUCUUGUUCUUCUUUUUACUUAUUGGGAGCUUUCCCGUGUAAAUAGUUUUAUUUUAUUUUCUUUCCUUUGGGGGUCGAGAAGACCAUAUUGAAAAUGCUUAGUGGUUCCUAUAUGCAUGAUUGUUUAUUUAACUUAGAGCCCAUAUUACCUUGUCUUCUCUCUUGAGUUGAAUGCUUGCAGAUUCCAGCUUAGUCCAAUGCACGUGCACUCUUAUUAUUAUACACAUCGUUCGGUUGUGCAAGUGAAAGGCAAUAAUGAUGACAUAUGAUGGACUUAGUGGGAUGAGAAAAGCUGGUAUGAACUCGACCUCUCUUGUUUUUGUAAAUAUGAUGAUUCAUCAUUCCUGAGUCAGCUAUUGUGAACUAAACAUAUUUGCAAUGACAUUUAGAGAUUAUAGUUGCUUGUGCCAUGCUUGAUUAGCUAUGAGUUAUAAUGCUUUACCUUGCAUGCCAACAUGCCAUUAGAAUGAUUAUGAUGUGGUAUGAUGGGAUGGUAUCCUCCUUUAAAUGAAUUGAGUGACUCGACUUGGCACAUGUUCACGCAUGUAGUUGAAUCAAAUCAACAUAGCCUUCAUGAUAUUUAUGUUCAUGGUGGAUUAUAUCCUACUCAUGCUUGUAUUCGGUGUGAAUUAAUUUUAAUGCAUGCUUACGACUGUUGUCGCUCUCUAUCAGUUGGUCGCUUCCCAGUCUUUUGCUAGCCUUCACCUGUACUAAGCGGGAAUACUGCUUGUGCAUCCAGACUCCUUAAAGCCCAAAGUUGUUCUAUAUGAGUCCACUAUAGGUACCUAUAUGCGGUAUUUACCUGCCGUUCCAAGUAAAUUUGUAUGUCCCAAACUCCAAAACUUCAAAUGAAAUUCUGUUUUGUAUGCUCGAGCAGCUCAUGUUACAACUAGGGCUGCCUAUAUCUUCCAUGCUAGGUGGGUUAUUCUCAAGAGGAGUGGACUCCGCUCCUCAUUCACGAGAAAGGGCCGGUAACCAGGAUGCCCAGUCCCAUGAUCCAAAAAGAUCAAAGCAAAUCAAAUUAAUUAAACAAAACUCCCCCAGGGCUGUUGUAUGUUGGAGGCACUUGUUGUUUCGAGCAAGCCAUGGAUUGAUGCUUGUUGGUGGUUGGGGGAGUAUAAACCUUUACCAUUCUGUUUGGGAACUGCCUAUAAUACAUGUAGUAUGGAAGAUACAGCCAUCUCAUAGUUGUUGCGCUGACAGUGAAAGUAUGCCGCUCAAAUUUUUAUUCAAUCUCUAUUUUAAAAUCGAGCUCUGGCACCUCUACAAAUCACUGCUUCCCUCUGCGAAGGGCCUAUCUAUUUACUUUUAUGUUGAGUCAUCAUCCUUCUUAUUAAAAAGCACCUGCUGGAGAGCACACUGUCAUUUGCAUUCAUUAUUAUUGGUUUAUAUUGGGUAUGACUUGACUGGAUCUCUUUUACCAUGAAUUACAAUGUUUAGUCAGUCCUUGAUCUUUAUAGGUGCUCUGCAUUUAUGUUUUGCGGUCUCAGAAAGGGCUUGCGAGAUACCAUUUUGUUAUAUCAUGUUAUGAUUAUUUUGAGAAAGUGUUGUCAUCCGAGUUUUAUUAUUAUGGCUUGCUAGCUGAUUAUGUUAUUGAUAUGAGUAAUUGUGAGACCUAUGUGUUAUUGUGAGUAUGGUUAGUUUAUAAUAUUUGCUGAAACUUGAAUGCUGGCUUUUCAUGUUACAACAACAAGAGCAAACAGAGUUUGUAAAAGUUUUUCUUUAUCACUUUCAGUUUAUCAACUGAAUUGCUUGAGGACAAGCAAAGGUUUAAGCUUGGGGGAGUUGAUACGUCUCCAAUGUAUCUACUUUUCCAAACACUUUUGCCCUUGUUUUGGACUCUAACUUGCAUGAUUUGAAUGAAACUAACCCGGACUGACGCUGUUUUCAGUAGAACUACCAUGAAGUUGUUUUAUGUGUAGAAAAGAAAAGUUCUCAGAAUGUCCUGGAAAUCCAUGGAGGCACCUUUUGGAAUUAAUAAGAAUUUUUGGUGAACGAAUUAAUGCCAAGAGGCCCACAGCCUGUCCACUAGACAAGGGGUGCGCCCCCCUAGGGCACGACCUCCUAUCUCAUGGGCCCCCUAGACCUCCUCCGACCUCAACUCCAACUCCAUAUAUUCUGUCUUGGGGAGAAAAAAAUUGAGGAGAAAGUUUCAUCGCGUUUUACGACACAGAGCCACCGCCAAGCCCUAAUCUCUCUCGGGAGGGCUGAUCUGGAGUCCGUUCGUGGCUCCGGAGAGGGGGAUUCGUCGUCGUCGUCGUCAUCAACCAUCCUCCAUCACCAAUUUCAUGAUGCUCACCGCCGUGCGUGAGUAAUUCCAUCAUAGGCUUGCUGGACGGUGAUGGGUUGGAUGAGAUUUACCAGGUAAUCAAGUUAGUUUUGUUAGGGUUUGAUCCCUAGUAUCCACUAUGUUCUGAGAUUGAUGUUGCUAUGACUUUGCUAUGCUUAAUGCUUGUCACUAGGGCCCGAGUGCCAUGAUUUCAGAUCUGAACCUAUUAUGUUUUCAUGAAUAUAUGUGUGUUCUUGAUCCUAUCUUGCAAGUCUAUAGUCACCUAUUAUGUGUUAUGACCCGACAACCCUGAAGUGACAAUAAUCGGGACACUUCUCGGUGAUGACCGUAGUUUUAGGAGUUCAUGUAUUCACUAUAUGUUAAUGCUUUGGUCCGGUUCUCUAUUAAAAGGAGGCCUUAAUAUCCCUUAGUUUCCGCUAGGACCCCGCUUCAACGGGAGGGUAGGACAAAAGAUGUCAUGCAAGUUCUUUUCCAUAGGCAUGUAUGACUAUUUAUGGAAUACAUGCCUACAUUACAUUAAUGAAUUGGAGCUAGUUCUAUAUACCACUAUGUUAUAACUAUUGCAUGAGGAAUCGCAUCCGGCAUAAUUAUCCAUCACUGAUCCAUUGCCUACGAGCUUUUCACAUAUUGUUCUUGGCUUAUUUACUUUUCCGUUGCUACUGUUACAACUACUACAAAACCCCCAAAACAUUUAUCUUUAUUGUUGCUACUGUUACCAUUACUUUCAUACCACUUUUGCUACUAAACACUUUGCUACAGAUACUAAGUUAUCCAGGUGUGGUUGAAUUUAAAACUCAAACUACUAAUACUCAAGAAUAUUCUUUGGCUCCCCUUGUGUCGAAUCAAUAAAUUUGGGUUGAAUACUUUACCCUCGAAAGCUGUUGCGAUCCCACAGACUUGUGGGUUAUCAGUCACCACCGAGGACCAUCCCGCCGCGCUCGCCGACCUCGCCCAUGCCUGCAUCACGCUCGUGGCCACGCGGAUCACGCCCCACGCGGAUCACGCCCCUCGUACAUCGUGCUCUAGGAUGUCGCCGAUGUACUCCCCGGAAUGCCUUCGCCUUAGUGAGACAUCCACACCUGCUUGAGUUCAUACUCUUGGCAAGCAAUUUUGGUUCUGUUUUCGGUACAAUUUUGGAGUUUGACAGUUUGAGGAGUUCUGCUCCACAAGACAGACUUCAGAGUUUAGAAGUCAGUUCUUUUAGCAGAUGUAGAUGGAAGGAUGGGGAAUUUAUUUUUGGAUCUUAGGCCUUGAUGUAGAUGGAGAUCGCCUUUAGGGCUCUGGAUCAAUUAAGGUUGUUGACCACUGGCUCAUGCCCAAAAGGAAUGAUGGCUGCAUAGACAAAUUUUACCCUAAAUAAAUGGUAAUUGAGGGACUCUCAACAAAAUUCAGGAGUAACAAAGAAAUACUAUGUCCAAAACCAGGGAAGUCCUAACUUUAAAGGAAAGUUGGUUCUCAGUUCUUAGAUUCUGAUCCUUUUAGUCCAGAUACAACAACUUUAAUUUCUUUUCUUGGAACUUAGUCAGAUAUAUUAUCUGGUUCUCAGUAUUUCCCCCCUGAUACCAAAAGUGUUUAGACAAGAGAAUCUUCCUCUGAUGUGUACCUACUUGUUCUUUUCUCCAACAAAGGCCGGAGCAGGAGUGGGGAUGGCAAUGAUUGCCGUGGUAGCUAACAACAUCUGCAUACCCUUGUGGAGAUUAUUUGGGGGAGCAUCAAACACUGUGACAACAGACAUCAUGGGUCAUUUAAAAAAAAUAGACAUCACGGUAUGGUUAUCAAAAUUUCCCCUUCACUGAGUUCAGCAUGUUUAUGCUUUAUCAAAAUUGCUAAGUUCAUCUAUUUCUGAAUUUAGAUUCCAAUUGUGACCCCAAAUGAAGCCGCUCAAUUGGCUGCUAAAUAUCGAGGACAAGGGUUUCAGACUCUGAAGCUCAAAGUAGGGAAAAACUUGAACUCAUACAUAGAAGUUCUGAAGGCUAUAUGGCUUGUGCAUCCUGACAACUCAUUUAUCUUGGAUGCAAAUGAAGGGUACACAGCAAACCAUGCAAUUGAAGUUCUUGACAGACUAAACAGUAUGUACUCUCACUAUGUUCAAUCUUUUCACUCUUAAAUAUCCGAGUUAGUGUGAUGUUCUAUGGUGAGGAAUUAAAAAUUAACUACUAUUUUCUCUGAAUCGGGCUUGAUUUUUGGUACAUAUUCUAUGAUGAUUGAUGCAAAGUCCGUGUUGUGCUCCUAUGACUGAGGUUGGAUAUGCUUGAUGUCCAAAAAAAAUUAGUGAUGCUUGCUUGAGCGAAAUGCCUAUUGAUCAUACUAACAUAUUACUUUUCUUCCCAAUGUGAUACAGGUAUAGAAGAAGUAGCAGAAAAUUGAAUACAUCGUUCUCUGUUGCAUCGAGGAUUGAUUUCAGUGCAACCUUUCAUUGAAAUCAUGUGAACAUGAUACUAUAGACUGCAACCAUGAAUUAAUUUUCCUUCAUGAUGUCUACAUGACCUUUUGAGCGUUUGGAUAUGAUUUACGGUCCUUCUACUCCUUUGCUUAAUGCCCCCCAUCAAUUGUAGGACCUUCAGGAUGGGACUUCCUAUCCAUUCUUAUCGGAUAAAUUAAAUAUAUCUGUGGAAAUCUAGGUAUGAGAUGUUUUUUUACAUCUGGUGUUCUUUACAUAUUAGUGUGUUGUAGCAGAUUUAGUGACAAAAACAUAUGUCAUCCUGGAGCAUUGAUAUAAUUACAUUUGCUCAUUUGUUGUUAUGUGUUUUGUUUAGAGGAAUUGCUUCUGUACUUGACAGAAUAGGAGCUGGUGUAUUUCAUGUGCAAUUUUCUUAUUUCGAGUAAGCUUGAAACUGAUGGUCUCAGUUGGUUUGUGUAUUGACUUUCUUUAGAGCCUGAAUCUAGAGAGACUAAGUAGAGGGUCGCCUUUGUGCAGGAAUUUACCGCAGGUCUGAUCCCUUGCACGUGCCCUCCGCUUUCCCUCUCGACCCUCCCCUUGCCGAUCGCCAUCCAUUUUAUUCAGAGUGUAGAUGGCGGGCAAAACACCUAAGCUCCAGGUGAGCUCCUACUCCAUCCUGCAGGUGUCAUAAUUUGUAUGAUGUUUCCAUUAUUAAGUUUUGCGAUCUAAUGCCUUGCUCUACUGUUUUUAUUUUUGAUCUCAACGUUUCAAAUUUUAUCGGACUAUGGUUACUUGAAUGCUCCAUGGGAAUUGGAAUGUGGGGGAUCUCAAAGAAUUUUUAUAAAUAAAAAUCCAAAUAUCAACAUUUUCUAAUCUCGCUCAAUGCUUGAGGUCUUAUAUAGAACACCAUGUUGAGAGCAACCUGCCAACAUCAUUUUCUCCAGAACAUUGAGAACCGAUAGGAUUCUAUUUGUAUUUACACCGACAUUCUCUCUCCUUCGACUAACUGAACAUUGCAUUAAUGUCGUACAUGCAUCCUACUUCAUAUGAGCAGCGCUCAUGUUUCGAAGAAAUAAACAGUGUGAGUUUACUAUUUAAGUGGAUGUCUUGUUUCUCCGGGAAUGAGCUUAAAAAACACAUGAGCUACUGUGACUAGAUGUCUUGUUAGCCGUAGACAGUAUUUUUGGACUGAGACUUGCUCCUGUUGUUUGUUUCAGAUAUUCAGUCUAAGAUCUAAAUUUCACCAAUAUGUCUUUGUUUACAUUUCUUGAUGUGUUUUAGAUGAACCGAAUCACUUGUGUUUAUAUGGAUAGUAGCUACUUUUACUUCAGCACAUAAAGAACAAAAUCUGUAUGAGUAUUUUUUAAAGCAUUUCUACAUAAGCAAAACAUAUCAAGGGGCAAUAUGCUGGAAUAAAAUCAUAUAUACAAAUUUGUUUGUAGAGCAAGGAUGAAAAGCACUCCAUACACACCCACAAGGAUGAUGAUCCAUCUGUUUCUAGGAUGGUGGGACUUGAGGUCAAACUGCAUAGGUUUACAUUCAACUUCGCUUGUUGAUGUUUCUGACAUAUACUUGAUGGAAUAUACAUAAAUAUAUGUUCUUUCUUAUAGGUUUGCACCAGAUUCAAGGAUCAACUACUUGAUGAAAUAUACAGGAGAAUCUCCUACUCAACAUUAGCUUAAAAAAAGAAUCAAGGAUUAGUUCAAUGGGAAUUAGAAUGAUGAAAACACUUGUUUGAGCACAUGUGAUCCUCAUAAUAGCAUAUUUGUAACAAAUCUCUAUAGUCAAAUCACUUUCUUUUACAAUUCUAUAGUAAAAUCACUUACUGUUGUGUAUAAGUGCCAUUAAGGAUCAACCUAUAUCUGUGGAGGUGCAUAAGCUAGAUAAGUGGGCACAUGAAUGCUCAGGAGGCGUGCCAAUGGCACACCCCAGCCACUAGUGUAUAUAAAGGAGGGAGGGAGAGAGGAGGUCGGCCAGGUUUGAGCGCGCUAGGGGGGAUUCCUACUUGGGCUCCUAGUCCAAGUAGGAUUUGCCCCCCCUUUUCCUAUCUUCCACCGGAGGGAAAGGUAAGGGGGAGAGAGGGGGAAGGAAAGAGGGAGGCCGACCCCCUCCCCUAGUCCAAUUCGGUUUGGGAAAGGGGAGGGGCGCCCCUCUCACGUGUCCCUUUCUCCUCUCCUCCAAUAAGGCCCACUAGGCCCAAUACUUCUCCCGGGGUUUCCGGUAACCUCUCAGUACUCCAAAAAAUGCCCGAACCACUUGGAACCAUUCUGAUGUCCAAAUGCAACCUUCCAAUAUAUGAAUCUUUACCUCUCGACCAUUUCGAGACUCCUCGUCAUGUCCGUGAUCUCAUCCAGGACUCUGAACAAACUUCAGUGCAUCAAAUCACAUAACUCAUAAUACAAAUCAUCAUCGAACGUUAAGCGUGCGGACCUUACGGGUUCGAGAACUAUGUAGACAUGACCGAGACACAUCUCCGGUCAAUAACCAAUAGUGGAACCUAGAUGCUCAUAUUGGCUCCUACAUAUAUUCUACGAAGAUCUUAUUCGAUCAAACCGCAUAACAACAUACAUUGUUCCCUUUGUCAUCGGUAUGUUACUUGCCCGAGAUUGGAUCGUCGGUAUCAUCAUACCUAGUUCAAUCUCGUUAACAGCAAGUCUCUUUACUCGUUCCGUAAUACUUCAUCCUGCAACUAAGUCAUUAGUUACGAUGCUUGCAAGGCUUAUAGUGAUGAGUAUUACCGAGAGGGCCCAGAGAUACCUCUCCGAAACACGAAGUGACAAAUCCUAAUCUCAAUCUAUGCCAACCUAACAAACACCUUCAGAGACACCUGUAGAGCACCUUUAUAAUCACCCAUUUACGUUGUGAUGUUUGGUAGCACACAAAGUGUUCCUCCAGUAUUCAGGAGUUGCAUAAUGUCAUAGUCUGAGGAACUUGUAUAAGUCAUGAAGAAAGCGGUAGAAAUGAAACUGACACGAUCAUAAUGCUAAGCUAACGGAUGGGUCAUGUCCAUCACAUCAUUCUCCUAAUGAUGUGAUCCCGUUCAUCAAAUGACAACACAUGUCUAUGGUUAGUAAACAUAACCAUCUUUGAUUAACGAGCUAGUCAAGUAGAGGCAUACUAGGGACUAUAGGUUCUGUCUAUGUAUUCGCGCAUGUACUAAGUUUCCGGUUAAUACAAUUCUAGCAUGAAUAAUAAACAUUUAUCAUGAAUUAAGGAAAUAAAUAAUAACUUUUUUAUUUCCUCUAGGGCAUAUUUCCUUCAAUGUGAACGUCAACUACAUGACACUUCACCAUCUUUGGGCCUAAGGGAAAGCAUUGUGGAGUAGUAAUUAGAUGAUGGGUUGCUAGAGUGACAGAAGCUUGAACCCUAGUUUAUGUGCUAUCCCGUAAGGGGCUGAUUUGGAUCCAUAUGUUUCAUGCUAUGGUUAGAUUCAUCUUAAUUCUUCUUUCAUAGUUGAGGAUGCUUGCGAGAGAGGGUAAUCAUAAGUGGGAGGCACCCAAGCACCGGGCCACCCAUAUAUCAAAUUAUCAAAGUAACGAACGCGAAUCAAACAAACAUGAUGAACAUGACUAGAGGAAAUUCCCGUGUGUCCUCAAGAAUGCUUUGCUUAUUAAAAGAGAUCGUUUUGGCCUGUCCUUUGCUACAAAAAGAAUUGGGCUACCUUGCUGCACUUUUGUUACCGUUACUAUUAUUUGUUUGUUACAAAUUAUCUUGCUAUCAAACUAUCUGUUACCGACAAUUUCAGUGCCCGCAGAAAAUACCUUGUUGAAAACCGCUUGUCAUUCCCUUCUGCUCCUCGUUGGGUUCGACGCUCUUACUUAUCGAAAGGACUACGAGUGAUCCCCUAUACUUGUGGGUCAUCAUACUGCACGACAGAGUCAUCACCUAGAGUGAAAUACGAGGAAUCACCCUCAGUAGAUCACACUAGAUGUGCUACACUACAGAGUCGUCAUCGAGAGCGAAAUACAAGGAAUCACCCUCGGUAGAUCACACUUGAUACGACUCAGUGUAAUGGUAUAAUUGUAAGGGCCUUUAGGGGUGUUCCGGUCUCGGUAUAGUGAUCCAUCAUCUCGGUCAACCCAGAUAGUAUGGCAUGGCAACACUGACAAGGGAGUAGGGCCAUUGAUGGUACACUAACUUACCUAUUCUAAGCAGAUAGGAUAACAAAUAAAGUAUCAAUAGCAGGUUAUCAAAAACAUGCUAUGCAUCAGUGUAGGAUCUACCGAGAAAGCUGUAACAGUAACACUACUCUAAUGCAAGCAAUAGAGAGAAGGAAUAGGCGAUAUUGAAAUGAUCAAGGGGGUUUUGCUUGCCUGGAAGCUCUAUCGAGAAGGAGGGGCCAUCGACGUCGUAGUCGUACUGGGUGUCACCAACAGCCUCGGGGUCUACCAAAAGAAUAGAGGAGAGGAGGGAAAUAGAUAAAUAACGAGCAUACAAGUGCAACACAGAUGCAUGUCAUGUCAGAAUGUGAUGAUGAUAUGCUUUAGUGCAUUCCUAAACAAUUUAAAAGAAGAGGAAAAACAUUCGGCAAUGUUUUCCCAGCUCUGGGUAUUUUUCAGUAUAUUGAUCCAGGGGUAAAUGUUCAUGGUUCAUUAUGUUAGAGGGGUGUGGUAGGUAUGUGGAUGACAUAUUCAGAUUCGUUAUAUUUUUCUGAUCAUAUUUCAUAUAUAAAUUAUUUUCAUCCGAGUCACAGAUUAUUUUAUAUGAUUUUUCAAAGUAUAAUUGAUUUCUAAAUUUUUGGAUUUAUUUUUAAUUCGAAUUUUUUAAUUAUUAAAUUGCUAUGUGCACACAAAGAAGUGUACACAACAAAUGGCUCUCUGGCUGACAAUGGGCCAAUGGGGCCCGAUUGACCGAUGAUACGUCUCCAAUGUAUCUAUAAUUUUUGAUUAUUCCAUGCUAUUAUAUUAUCCAUAUUGAAUGUUUUAUAUGCAUUAUUAUGUUAUUUUAUAUCUUUUUUGGACUAACCUAUUAACCUAGUGCCCAAUGCCAAUUGCUAUUUCCCCUUGUUUUUGACUUUACAAAAUUAAAUACCAAACAGAGUCCAAAUGGAAUGAAACUUUUUGAUGAUUUUUCUUGGACAAGAAGACAACCAGGAAGCUUCAGGGUGAGGCCAGAAGGGCCAAAAGAUGGCCACAUGCUUGGUGGGCGUGCCCUAGGGGGGCAUGCCCCCCAAGCUUGUGGGCCUCACGUGGCACUUUCAACCCUAAUUUUUCUUCUACAAAUACCCAAAUAUUCCCCGAAGACCAGAGGUGAAAGUGCAACUAUCCCUGGUUGGUUUUGGUAAUGAUUAACAACAUAUAGCUCAUUGAACUAAUGCCAUUACAAGAUAAACAUUUUAGGAAAGUUCAAUGAUUGGCAUGGCAUGGAUAAGGAAUUUGGACCCCUCAAAAUGCUAAGGACAAAAGAUUGGCUCAAGCUUCAAAUUCCAAGACUCUACAUUUUCUAUUUUAGUGAUCCAAGAUCACAUUGAGUCUAUAGGAAAGCCAAUACUAUUAAAAGGGUAUGAGGUGUUGCUUAAUGACUUGCUUGCUCAAAAUGCUUAGUGAUAUGCUUCAUAGCCCUCAACCACUUUCUCAUAUCCACAUAUGUCCCAAACCAAAAGUCAAACUCGGCCCCACCAAUUUGAUCCAUCCUGCGCCACCGAGUUCAUUUGACAUAGCCACUGCCAGAAACCCUAGUCUUUUCGGUCUCACUGAUAGGGAUCUCGAUCUCAUCGAGAUGGGGUUGCAAACUCUUUGUUUCCAUGUUUUAGCAUCACUCUUUAAUGAAACGGAAAUAACUUAAGGAUAUAGUAGUAACAAAUUUUUUCCUCAUGAGUGAAUAGGGUGGCUAUAUCAUUCAAUUUAGUAAGAUGUGCCACAACAGUUUCAGAUUCAUAGCCAUAAAAAGGAUCAGAUUCAACCAAAGUUAUUAACUCAGGAUCGACAGAGAAAUCAUAAUCCUUAUGAUAAAUACAGAUAGGUGAAGUAGCAAAAGCAAGGUCAUAUUUCAUUCUAGCAUUCAAAGACUUUUCUUUCAGCUUAGCUAACAGUUUCUUAAGAUCAUAUCAAUCUUUACAAGCAAAAAGGUCUCUAGCAGUUUCUUCAUCCACAACAUAACCCUCAGGCACAUCAGGCAACUCAUAUCUAGGGGGAGAAUCUUCAUCAUCACUUUCAUCAAUAUUAUCUGUUUCAAUAAUUUCAUUCUCUCUAACCCUAGCAAGUUGUUCAUCAAGAAAUUCACCUAAUGGCACAGUAUUAUCAAGCAUAGAAGUAGUUUCAUCAUAAGCAUCAUGCAUAGUGUAAGUGGCAUCAUCAAUAACAUGCGACAUAUAAGAAUCAAUAACAGGUGUAGGUGUCGCAAAUUUACUCAUAACAGAAGGUGAAUCAAGUGCAGAGCUAGAUGGCAGUUCCUUACCUCCCCUCGUAGUUGAGGGAAAAAUCGUGGUUCUUUCAUCUUUCAAGUUCCUCAUAGUGAUCAAUAGGUAUAAAUCCCAAGUGACUCAAAGAAUAGAGCUAUGCUCCCCGACAACGGUGCCAGAAAAUAGUCUUGAUAACCCACAAGUAUAGGGAUCGCAACAGUUUUUGAGGGUAGAGUAUUCAACCAAAAUUUAUUGAUUCUACACAAGGGGAGCCAAAGAAUAUUAUCAAGUAUUAGCAGUUGAGUUGUCAAUUCAACCACACCUGCAAGACUUAAUAUCUGCAGCAAAGUAUUUAGUAGCAAACUAGUAUGGAAGUAAUGGUAACGGUGGCAAAAGUAACAGUAGCAGUUUUUGUAGCAAUCGUAACAGUGGCAACGGAAAAGUAACUAUGCAAAGAUCAAUAUGUGAAAAGCUCAUAGGCAAUGGAUCAAUGAUGGAUAAUUAUGUCGGAUGCGAUUCCUCAUGCAAUAGUUAUAACAUAGGGUGACACAGAACUAGCUCCAGUUCAUCAAUGUAAUGUAGGCAUGUAUUCCGAAUAUAGUCAUACGUGCUUAUGUAAAAGAACUUGCAUGACAUCUUUUGUCCUACCCUCCCAUGGCAGGGGGGUCCUAUUGGAAACUAAGGGAUAUUAAGGCCUCCUUUUAAUAGAGUGCCAGACCAAAGCAUUAACACUUAGUGAAUACAUGAACUCCUCAAACUACGGUCAUUGAGGGAGUCCUGGAUUAAGGGGUCCUCGGACGACCGGACUAUUGAUAUGGGCCGGACUGAUGGGCCGUGAAGAUACAAGACAAAAGACUCUCUCCCGUGUCCGGAUGGGACUCUCCAUGGUGUGGAAGGCAAGAUUGGCGCUCGGAUAUGAAGAUUCCUUUCUCUAUAACCGACUUCGUACAACCCUAGUCCCCUCCAGUGUCUAUAUAAACCGGAGGGCUUAGUCCGUAGAGGCAAUCACAAUCAUAAUCAUAUCGGCUAGACUUCUAGGUUUUAGCCAUUACGAUCUCGUGGUAGAUCAUCCCUUGUAUUACUCAUAUUCAUCAAGAUCAAUCAAGCAGGAAGUAGGGUAUUACCUCCAUAGAGAGGGCCCGAACCUGGGUAAACAUCGUGUCCCCCGCCUCCUAUUACCAUCAACCCUAGACGCAUAGUUCGGGACCCCCUACCCGAGAUCCGCCGGUUUUGACACCGACAUUGGUGCUUUCAUUGAGAGUUCCACUACGUCGUCACCAAAAGGUUUGAUGGCUCCAUCAAUCAUCUACAACAAUGCAGUCCAGGGGGAGAUUUUCCUCCCGGACAGAUCUUCAUAUUCGGCGGCUUCGCACUGCGGGCCAACUCACUCGGCCAUCUAUAGCAGAUCGACAGCUACGCCCCUGGCCAUCAGGUCAGGAUUAGAAGCUUGAAUUACGUUGCCGAUAUCCGCAGGGGCUUGAUCUUCAACAGAUUCGAGCCCAUGACAGCCGCUCCCUGCCACCACGAUGAAGAUGACCUAAAUCUUUGUGCCCAGGAGAUAGCACCUAUAACUGCUCUGGCCCCAGAUCCAGAGUAGAUUACGCCGUCCGAGGACGGGAAGCUCAACCCCGCUGCGGAGGCUGUAGACUCAGCGGCGUUAGAGUAGCACACAGAUCCAACCUCGAGCGGGGCCUGUGUCAUCGGAACCUCAGAUUUGUCUCUGGCCAUAGGUUCCGAACCACGUGCAUCUGCGCCCAUCAAAUCCGAUCAGGCACCGAUCGUUGAGUUCAGCUCCGCGGACAUUUUCCCGCACUCACCUUUAGGUGAUGUGCUAAACUCAUUAAAAGCCCUCUCCUUAUCCGGGAGCUCUCAGCCGAAUUAUAUCAGGUUUGGAUUAGAAGCUGAUGACGGAGAAUUUCGAUUCCCACCCACCACCCACUUCAUAGCCACUGUCAAAGACUUAACCGACAUGCUCGAUUACGACUCUGAAGACAUCGACAGUAUGGACGACGAUGCCGGAGAGGAGCAGGCUCAAAAACCACCGCUUACAGGGCGCUGGACAGCCACCUCCUCAUAUGACGUAUACAUGGUGGAUACACCCAAAGAGAACAACAUCGACAAUGAAAAGGAUCCAGUCAAGGAUAAGCCUCCUGAGAUACAGCCUAAGCGCCGACGUCAGCAGCGCCGCUCUAAACCACGUCGCAGAAAGCAGAGCAAUACUGGCACAGGAGAAAAUAAUACUCCGGACGAUGCCGAAGACAAUGAAGACCCCGUUGAGCCAGCUUCCAAACAUGAUGAACGGGAAGAUAGGCGAGUUAGCCUUGAUGAACAGGCCAUGAAUGAAGGCUCAGAGGACAGUAACUACCUUCCGCUCUUCGAGGACGAGGUGAGCCUCGGUGACGAAGACUUUAUAGUGCCUAAGGAGCCAGUCGAUCAGGAGCGCUUUAAGUGCCGGCUGAUAGCCACUCCAAGGAGCCUAAAAAAGAAGCAGCAAUAGCUUCAAGAUGAUCAAGAUCUGCUCAAUGAUAGAUGGACUAGUGUCCUGGCAGCCAAGGAAUACGGCCUCGAGCGCCCAACCAAAAGUUACCCGAAGCAUAAAUUGUUACCCCAAUUCAAUGAUGAGGCACUGGAGCCCAUCCUACCAACGCGUAAUGCGGCUAACCAACCACCACGUGGCCGGGACAAAGCGGCAACUCAAGCCGAACACUAGCCCGCACUACCUCGUCAUAAAAACAGAGACACAACAACUCGGGGAUACACAUAUGACCUGCAGCAUGACCUGUGAACAUGGCAGCUCAGACCAGAUCAAUCUAUGGAUCACGGGGGUGUGCCCUGAUGCGUGAUGAUGGCCAUCCGACCAGAGGUGACGAACAUAACCAUGCCAGGGCCGAAGACCGCAGACGAACUCCAUCCAAGCUAUGUCGCGACUUGGAUCGAUAUAGAGGCGCCGCACACCCCCUCUGCUUCAGUGAUGAAGUAAUGGAACAUGAAUCCCCAGAUGGGUUUAAACCCAUGAACAUCGAAUCAUAUGAUGGGACAACAGACCCCGCGGUAUGGAUCGAGGAUUUUCUUCUCCAUAUUCAUAUGGCCCGCGGUGAUGAUCUUCAUGCCAUCAAAUACCUCCCGUUAAAUCUUAAGGACCUGCUCGGCACUGGUUGAACAGUUUGCCCGAAAACUCAAUUGGCAGCUGGGAGGACUUGGAAGACACCUUCCUCGACAACUUCCAGGGUACAUAUGUCCGACCUCCGUAUGCCGCCGACUUAAGUCACAUAGUUCAACAGCCCGGAGAGUCAGCCAGAAAAUUCAGGACUAGGUUCUUAACUAAAAAGAACCAGAUCGUCGACUGUCCGGAUGCUGAAGCCCUAGCGGCCUUUAAACAUAGCAUCCGUGACGAAUGGCUCGCCCGACACCUCGGCCAAGAAAAGCCGAAGUCCAUGGCAGCCCUCACGACGCUUAUGACCCACUUCUGUGCGGGUGAAGAUAGUUGGCUAGCCCGUAGCAAUAACAAUACAAGCGAACCUAGCACUUCUGAAGCCAGAAACAGCAAUGGCAAGCCCCGACACAACAAACACAAAUGUCGAAGCAACGGUGACAACACCGAGGACACGACGGUCAAUGCCGGAUUUGGUGGCUCUAAGUCCAUUCAGCGGAACAAGCCAUAUAACAGAAUCAAUCCGGGCCCAUCCAGCUUAGACCACAUACUCGAUCGUCCAUGUCAAAUCCAUGGCACUCCUCAUAAACCAGCCAAUCAUACCAACAGAGAAUGUUGGGUUUUUAAACAUGCCGACAAGUUAAAUGCUGAGAACAAGGAGAAGGGGUCACAAAGCAAGGACAAUGACGAGGAGCCCCAGCCAUCGAACACAGAGGGACAGAAGAAGUCCCCCCUAGGUUAAAACGGUAAACAGGAUUACGCUACCCAUAACCCCAAGAGGGGGCACAAGCGCGCGCUCAGGGACGUCUACGUGAUGGAGCCAGUCGCCCCAAAGUUCAACCCAUGGUCAUCCUGCCCGAUCACCUUCGAUCACAGGGACCAUCCGACCAUUAUCCGUCAUGGCGGUUCAGCCGCACUGGUCCUCGACCCAAUCAUUGAUGGAUUCCAUCUUACGCGAGUCCUCAUGGAUGAUGGCAGCAGCCUGAACCUGCUCUCUCAGGAUACAAUGCACAAAAUGGGUAUUGAUCCCUCAAGGAUCAAGGCCACAAAAACCAUCUUUAAAGGUGUCAUACCAGGUGUAGAGGCCCGCUGUACGGGCUCAAUCACACUGGAGGUGGUCUUCGGAUCCCUGGAUUAACUUCCGAAGCAAAGAGUUGAUCUUCGAUAUCAUCGCCUUCCGCAGUGGCUAUCAUGCACUACUCGGAUGAACCACAUUCGCUCGAUUCAACGCGAUGCCACACUACGCUUAUCUCAAGCUCAAGAUGCCCGGACCACGCGGUGUCAUAACAGUCAAUGGAAACAUGGAACGCUCCCUCCAUACCGAGGAGCACACCGUCACCCUCACAGCAGAAGCACAGAUGGUCGGUCCUAUCAAGGGCAGAUACACCAAGACGGCAAGAAGCACUAACGUAUAAGGGGAUUUCCAGGUGGUCUCUUUAAACGAUCGUUAUGCCUGUUUUAAAAACCCGCACGCAGCUCUACCUUGGUCGUGGCAUGUUAAAUAGCCAUGUUCUUUAUCGCACUACUUGUACAAAUACGCUUUGACAUAUUAAUCAAACUACAAUGGAAAACGGUUUGCGGCCCAAUUUUUGCAGCAUUAGCCUAUUGCUUCAUUUUUCCUUUUCUUGAUAUUUUUAUCAAUUGCACCCGUAGACUCUGGUAUGCCUUAAUUCGCCAGGGGCUUCAUUACGCCCCAUAAUAUGGCAACAAAGUCCAAACACUUUUUUACAGUACAGUUCGGCACCCCAAACUUAUAUCAUUAUAUGCAUCGGCUCUGAAUCAUGUCUUUUGUCAAUAGUUGGGUUGCCCGGCUCCUGUGCUUACUAGCUUACGUUCUGCUAUAUCGGCUAGGGUAGUAAAGGGAGAACAACUGCGAUUGUGUCCUGGUUCAUCCGGAUGAGCACCUCAGUAGAGAAAGCCGAAAACUGACUGUCAUGAUGCGGCGUGAGCCGGUCAGCUGUUGGAGAGGUUACAAAUCUUUUGCGAUUUUUCCGCAUUAUGCGAUGAAUCAGUUUUUAUCCGAUCACGUGUUUACAGCACCCCAAGUUCGGACUUACAAACACUAGGGGUUGCGCCUAAAUUUCUAUUGUCAAACUCCUAUGGCUAAGUGAGGGUGAUAAAGCUGUAUAGUCCGAUUGCCUGGUUCGUUGCGCUAAGAACCUCCUUUAAGGACCAAACUUUGGAUAAAGAGUGUUUAGAUUCAUCCUGAACACCCCCGUACUACCUACGUGGGGGCGGAAGCCGAUGACUGGCCACUCUCAAAUUUAACAAAACGGCCACACAUGAGGUAAAAUUUUAAAUAACAAGCAUUAUAUUAUAUAACAACUUUGUUUCAUAAUACAGGAAAGGAUAACAUGAAUGUAUUCAUUCAAAGAUAACAUCCAUAGCACAUUGCUCCGCCACAACGCGGGAUCCCUCCAGGACAUCUUCAAAAUGCUGCUCAGGCGUGCGGUGCUCCUUGCCCAUGGGCGGUCCCUCGGUCAUAAGCUUCGCGGCUUCCAUCUUCACCCAGUGCAUCUUGACUCCGGUGAAGGCCAUUCGCGCACCUUCGAUGCAGACCGACCGCUUGAUGGCAUCAAGCCGAGGGAAGGCAUUGACCAGCCACUUCACGAGCCCAAAGUAUCUGUUGGGCAUGGCUUCGGCAGGCCAUAGCCGGAUUAUUAAAUCCGUCAUGGCUAGUUUGGCCACCCUAUGUAGUUUGACCAGCUAUUUUAGCUGAUCGCUAAAGGGCACCGGAUGUUCUGGCGCAAGAUAUUGCGACCAAAACAGCUUCUCCAUGGAGCUCCCCUCUUCGGCUCGGAAGAACUCCGUAGCGUCUGAAACGGUGCACGGCAGAUCUGCAAACGCCCCUGGAGAACUCCAAAUCCGGGUCAGUAAAAGGAACCUUUUCUUCACAUAUUUGCUCUGCAUAAUAAAGGCCUUACCCGCCGCGAUUUUUAUGGCCUCCUGGAAUUCCUGGAGGGCGCCCUGGCCUUCAACUCGGGCAUCGUGUGUGCUUUGGCGGGCCUUGGCAAGUUCGGACUCUUGGUCUGCAAGGUUGCGCUCCAAGGACUCACAUUUAUUCACGGCGUCCUAGAGCUCCUGCUAGACCUCACUGACCCUGGCCUCAUGCUUUUCACGGGUAGCUUGCUCUUUGGCCGCUCUCUCCUCAGCCUUGGCCAGCGCCUUCUUGAGGGUCUCCACCUCAGUCGUCGCUCCUAAUAAAUAUCAUGGCACUUCAGUCAGCACAAAUCAUCCAUCCUUCCUGAAAAUAGACAAGGUUAUUACAUACCUUGAUUGUCUACCAGCUGCUUUUUCAUGCGGCCGAGCUCUUCCUUGGCCCGCUCUAGACUAUGCUUCAGUCCGGAAAUCUCAGCAGUAUGAGCGGUCGCAGCCAGUAACGAUGCCUACUUGUUCACAUUGACUCAUUUGGUUAGUCUCUGUGAAUUUUUUUGAUCCUCUGUCCGGCUUUUGUUUUCAAACACCAGACAAUGUCUCAAAGGCUACUAUCUAUACUGUGACAUUCUUUUAUAUUGCGUUGCUUACCUCAAAGCCUGUUAGAAGGCUUGUGCAGGCUUUGGUCAGUUCGCUCUUCAUGGACUGAAUCCUCUCAACCACCGUACCCAUAAGGGUAUGAUGUUCUCAACAAUGGAAGCACUUCGCAGCGCUUCCAUUAGAGUAUCCGGUGCUGUCGGGGAUAUACCCCGCGGUGUAAACCGCCAGAAGUAUGACCCGCCCGGAGCUUAGCGAUUCACGGGUAAUCCGCCCGGACUUGGCGGCUCAUAGUAACCCGGUGGGCGGGUCAGAUGGAUGACAAGGCCCAAGGCCCAGAAGGCCGGCUCAUGUUAAUGGUAGGCCGGCUUAAGAGGAAAGGCGUGAGGAAUAUCUCCCUUACAAGGAAUCAAGACCCGGACUUGUAUCCGGCUUGUAGUAGAAGAUAGGCUAGUCCUAAUCCUAUUUGGACUCCACAUGUAACCCGCCCCUCUAACUUAUAUAAGGAGAGGCAGGGCUCCCCAAGAGGGACAAGCAAGAAGCAAUAAUCUCUAGGGCUAGACACAACUAGAGGAGAGCCGGCUUACCGGCGACUCCCUCAUGAUCAUAAUGAGACCUAGCCACAAACAGCAUGUAGGGUUAUUACCGGAUGAAGUUUCCUGGGGCCCGAAGCUGUCUAAACCUUUGUCUUGUGUUGCGUAUCUUGAUUCCGCCCAACCUCUCUCAAGCUACCACAUAGAUGCGUUGGCCUCGCGACUAAGUCGUGACACUAAGGACAUCUGUCGUGACAAUUCCAUGAUAGUUGGCGCCCAUCGUGGGGCAUGCGCAAGGUGGUGUUGAGUUCUUGGACGGAUCUCUUUCAGGGAUCGAGAAGCUUGCGAUUCGUCACACGUGGAAGAGCCAGCAAUUUUAUUGUUUGUGAUUGGAAUUAGCUUUGGAGCUGAUAGUACAAGGAUCAAGAGAAAUUAAGGUGACAUUGAGUACAGCGCCGCCUUUAUUGCGGAUCGAAGACGUGCACAAGAUCAAUCAAGCGCGGGGAUCAAAUCACGCAGGUCGGCAAGAAUACUAGAAGAAUUUUCGUAGCGUAACAUGCGCCUGGCAAGCGGUCAAGUCGCCGAGUCAAGGUUACCAAAAAAAUCGCUGCAGUAUCAACCUGUAUGGCGUCCGUAUUCGACUGCUACUGCAUCUCCCCUGGUCCAAUGAUCAAGGUUGCGAGAGGUUCAAUCGGCCAAGGUACCACGUUGGUGUUGUUGUUCUCCACGUCAUCAUAAAAAAAUCAGCAAUCAACAGCAAAAGAAGAGAGCCACGGCUGCCAGCGUCUCCUGCAUGCAAGGACGGAAGCAUAUACACUGUUUAAAAAAAAGAGAAAGAAGGGAAGCUAACGAUCCAGAGGAAAACACGGACGAGGACUCAUCCAACCGACCACGACCCGGAUUCAUUCCAUGACCCGCCUCUGCUUCUGUUGCCUCGAGCUACCCGGCAUCUCCGUGCCUCCGUGUUUCUGAGCUGUCCGCGGCGAGCCAACCACUCUGAGCUGCAGCUGCGCUGUGCCUCUGGCUCUCUCUACUUCAGAUCCCGGCGUCACCUCGGCUCUUAGGCAUCCUGGAUGACCUCGGCGCCUCCGGCCUGUUGAGCCGUCGCUAGAGAAACCGCUCCACGCCUCUGGAUUGUAUCUGUCGAGCCGCUCGCCCCACAGCUGCAAGCCGCUACUGCUGCCUGACCUGCUGCUAUGGCCUGCUAUGGCACGCGCCCAGCCAUUUUACUCGAGGCCAGCGAGCAAGCCGCCGUCACCCAUGGCUGCGCCCUGCCUCCGCCGACCCAGGUCGUCGAGUGGCCUUGCCGCCGCCUCGCAUGCUGCUACUUCCAUUUGUGGCUGGGCCCGAGUCACCCGGAGGAAAUCACGGAGCUGGAUUGGGCCGGAGCAACUACAACCCGGAAGCAAAAACGGAUGAGGACUGCUCCAUCGCCCGUGCCCCCGCCACGCCUCCGGAAUGGGCUACCUGCCCCGUCAUGCCUGCGGCGACAGCCGUUUGCCACUCGCCGUCACGCCUGGAGUCGCCCUUGCUGGCAUGCUGGCUCGCCGCUUCGGCCCGCCUUGCCUUGUGGGUCCUCUUCCAUGUGGCUGCGCUAAGCUAGCUAUGGUUGCAUUUCUCCAACCCGCCGCUGUCGCGGAUGCAUUUCGUCGACCCACCGGAGUGCCCUCGUUACAACUUCUGAACCGGCCUCACUUAUGAUGUCUCCACGGACUCGUGCUCCACUACUAACCCGCCACCAGGUUACCGCGCCAUUGAGUUAUCCCGUCGGUCGCUAGUUCGACCCCGGCGUCGAACCUCCAUUUAAGCCGCCGCUGCUAUCAGAUUGGUGUACUUCAAAUGACAAAAGAAAGUGCUGCGGGCGGACUGUUACAGAAAGCUCACGCCAAAGAAAGAGGAGGGUCAAACUGGAUACAUGUUUGUCUUCCCUACACAUGCAUGAAAGAAAAUUCAAUUAGUAUUGCACGGUACUAUUACGGGAACAGAGCAAUGAGUCAUCAUCUGCUGGUCCAUCCAGAUUACAUCCAAACAAUAUCUAGUGCCAGCGUUUGUGUUCAUCCGACAAAAAUACCAGGUGCUAUCUUUUCUAUAUUUUUUAUACAUUUUUCAAAGGGACAAUUACUUUGGCCUGCGAUGUUUGUGAUGCAGGACAAUUGUUCACUACAUCAAAACGGCGUGGUUAACUCGCCCGCGCCGGUUUAUAGCAUCGCGGCCGAUUCAUCUGUCUGAUCCGGCUAUGAUGUUACUGUCGUCUUUACCGUCCGUCUCUCGCGGCCUGAUCUACAUCAACACACCGGGCCGCACUUGUCUGGAUGAGCUGUUUAUUGAGUAUGAGCAAGUCAGUACUUGGGAAGCCCGGUUUUCUUCCAACAAAUUGGAGGCAAAUUCUCAUAUAUUAUCAGCUGCUGUCUGCACUGGAUGGUUCAAUGGGCAGGCGCACAAGUCGCCGCCACUACAGUUUGGUUAACUUCAAACAGCCAGUUGGAAGGAACCAUUGGCUGAGUUGCUGACAUGGCUCAUACAGGAUCAUUUAUAACCUGCCGCAGUCACCUCAACCUUCUGUGGAUUCACAUCGCGCUAUCAACACCAAUGAUAUAUACCUUUUGCUAUGGUCAAAUAUGGAUAAUCUCAAGCCAACUCCUCGAGUCGUCUUGAGACUCGGGGGCUACAAUGGUAUGACUCGGCAAAAUUAGCCGGUUUCAAUAAAUUCAAAAACUCCGGGUCAUUGAAGGGAAGAGCAACCUGGCCCCGGAGAUUACUGCUAGAUCGAUGAAAAUUUAAAGGCUGUUAGAAGAUUUUUGGUUCAAAAUAAGGAUUCUGGUUUAAAAUCCUGUUCAAGGGAAAUUUAUCUACCACAAAGCUUUGAAGCUCUCAAAUCCGGUUCAAAAUCCGGUUCAAGGGAAAUUUAUCUACCACAAAGCUUUGAAGCUCUCAAAUCCGGUUCAAAAUCCGGCUCAAGGUAAAUUUGUCUCUCACAAAGUUUUGAAGCUUCUAAAUCUGGUUUCAAGUUACCGGUUCAAAAGAAUUAAUCUCUCGCAAGUUCGAUAUCUCGAACAAAUUAAUGGUUACCAAGGGGAACUUGCUGCCAUGAUGCACGGUUCAAAACAUGGGUAUCCUGCCUUACGGCUUAUUUUAUUAUGGUCACUUGGGGGCUUCCUGCUCAUCGGGCAUAGCUAUCAGUACCCUCUUGAUCGGCGCAAUGCCAAAAUUUAUAUGGUCACUUGGGGGCUUCCUGUUCAAACAUAGGUCGUAUUCGAACCAAAGAGAACAUAGCUGUCGAUACCAUUUUGAUUAGCAAACUGCUGAACCUACUUGGGGGCUUCUUAAUCAUAUCCGAAUCAUAGCUCAACCCCUUUGGGAAUCGACGUGGAUCGUAUUCGAAUCAGCAUCGUUAAACAACUUUUAAGGUAAUUUGGGGGCUUCCUGUUCAAACAUAGGUCGUAUUCGAACCAAAGAGAACAUAGUUGUCGAUACCCACUUUGAUCGGCAACGCCAACGCCAUUGGGGGCUAUAUGAUCGUAUUUGAAUCUUAGCUUAACCCCUUUGGAAUGGUUUACUGAUCGUAUUCGAAUCAGAAGCCUCAAAAAGUUUAUUUGUUUUUAUACAAUCGCAAGUAUUUGAGUUGUCACAAAUAUCAUAUGUCUCGGCUCUUACAGAGUUGAGUUAUCAACUUCACUGUCCGGGUUACAUAAGCCGGCGGUAUCAUUCAAAGGAUCAUAGGGAUCUUGUGAUCUACUUGUGUGCAGGAUAAGACUACAUUUGGGUGGUUACCCGCCCUGGCUUUUGAUGUUAAGUUGCCAGGGCAUAUGUUGUUUAAACUCUUUGCAGGAUUUGCAGAAAUAUGACAUAUAAAUGAUUAAGUUCAAGCUCAUUACCAAAGUUGAUGCUUCAAAAUGAUUAUCCGUUCUGGAUUUUUCUCAAAGGCUAUAAACCUCCGGAUUUUUCUCAAUGGCUAUAAACCUCCAGCUUACAAUGGAGGUGUAUUAAAUCGCCAUCGGCCAAGAGCCGCUGAUUAUUUAAAUCUGGAUUUACUUAUCAACAGAUGAGGUAUUCAAAUUUGCUUUGGCGCAAUGGCUAUUAUUUUAUUAAUGGAUAUGAUUUAUUCUACAAUGGAAGUAAUAGUCCCGAGUCGGGCUUACGACCCGACACUUGGGGGCUACAUUAUUCAAAUUGGGGUUACAUCAAAUAUGCAAGUCUCAUGUCGCUGCAAGCAUGCACCAUGACACUUGGGGGCUAAUGCAAUGUCAUUUUUCUUCACCUCAUUGAAGACCCGACUAAUCACAUCGUAAUGAGCCGGCCCUUGGGGGCUACCAAUUGUUCCUGUCAACAGUGCAAUGUACACUAGUCUUAAUCCAUUAUAUUGAAGGAUCCAUUGCUCAGUUGGUAAAGUACAAAGCUCUUAACCUUGUGGAUGUGGGUUCAAGCCCCAUGGUGGAGAUUACAUCAUAUGAUGUUAUUAUCAAUGAGUUAUAUACAAAGUCCCAACUCAGUAAUAUCUUACUGAGCCGGCCCUUGGGUGCUACACGUUGCUGCUCCAGUUUACAUGAUAAUAUUUACAAAGUCCCUGCUCAUUAUUGCAUAAUGACCCGGCCCUUGGGGGCUACACUGGUUGAAGUUUUAUGAUCAUAAGGCAAUUACAAGUCCCAGGUUGCUACAAGCAUGACAACCCGGAACUUGGGGGCUACAGGUGAUAUACAUAUAAGGGGAAAAAUCUUCAAAUUCUCAGUUUUGAGUAGGUCAGAUUGACCCGGUGUUUGCAACAAUCAUGAUCCGGUGUCACCAAUAAUUAUGACCCGACGUCGGAAACAGUUAUUACCCGGUGUUAUCAAUAUUUACAAGCCGGCAAUUUUGGCAGUUAUAACUAGCCAGCCUCUACAUCUUUAAACCGGCGGAUCACCAGAUGAAUCUUGAGUUCAAUAUGUUUAUUAAGUCGGAGCUUUGGAAACUGACUCAAAUGGAUUAUUUCUUAUAAUAUUUCUCAAUAAGAGACCAAUGUCAGAAAUUGACUCUGAAGCUGGCCUGUUGACCCGGAUUUCUCAAAGGAGUAUCUGGAUAUUUUACGUUGGUAAAAUUGGGACAUAUCUUCUAAGGAGAUUUGCUAUGAGAUCAUGGAUACAUAUCAAGGAAGAAAUGUCAAGGACUUAAGGAUGAUCAGGUGCCGGCAUACAAGAAUAUUUAACCCGGAGUACAGCCUAUCAAAUUUGUUCUUGUGUUUAUGUUGCAGAUCAGUUUAACAUGGAUAAAAUCCAAAUUAAACUUGGGGCUAAUGUCGGGGAUUUACCCCACGGUGUAAACCACCAGAAGUAUGACCCGCCCGGAGCUUGGCGAUUCACGGGUAAUCCGCCCGGACUUGGCGGCUCAUAGUAACUCGGUGGGCGGGUCAGAUGGAUGACAAGGCCCAAGGCCCAGAAGGGCGGCUCAUGUUAAUGGUAGGCCGGCUUAAGAGGAAAGGCGUGAGGAAUAUCUCCCUUACAAGGAAUCAAGACCUGGACUUGUAUCCGGCUUGUAGUAGAAGACAGGCUAGUCCUAAUCCUAUGUGGACUCCACAUGUAACCCGCCCCUCUAACUUAUAUAAGGAGGGGCAGGGCUCCCCAAGAGGGACAAGCAAGAAGCAAUAAUCUCUAGGGCUAGACACAACUAGAGGAGAGCCAGCUUACUGGCGACUCCCUCAUGAUCAUAAUGAGACCUAGCCACAAACAACAUGUAGGGUUAUUACCGGAUGAUGUUUCCCGGGGCCCGAAGCUGUCUAAACCUUUGUCUUGUGUUGCAUAUGUCGAUUCCGCCCAACCCCUCUCAAGCUACCACAUAGAUGCGUUGGCCUCGCGACUAAGUCCUCACACUAAGGACAUCUGUCGUGAAAAUUCCACGACAGGCGCCUCUGGUUGGACAGAGGUCACCGGCGGAAUUGGCGCACCUCCUCCUUCGGAAGGAGGCUGCUUGCAAGGUUCCAGGGCCGCAUAGGUCUCCGGUACUGUAUUCGGCUGGGGGCCAAACUAAAUAUGGCCCCCACCACCAGUUUCCAUGGGGAUUUGCUCCCCCAUGUGUUCGAUGGCCGAGGUUUCACCCUCUGGUGCCGCCCUGAGGGCCUCCUGAGUCUCUCCCUAACCUGGGAUCCUUCGGGACAACACCUUGGUGUUAUCCAUGGCCUUGGGAGAGGAGGCCACCGGGGACCCACUGUCCAUCACCUCCGGGUCCAGCGAAUCCCCCGAAGAUGAGGAUCGCUCGAGGUUGGACCGAGCCGGACUGCAAAUGCAUGACUCAACAUGUUAAGACUAUGAAGUAGAGAGGCCGGAUAUAUGAAUGCGUAUGGGUUUUUGAGUACUCAUGAUUUGGCCAGAGGCUUGUCUCGGGGGCACUGCUCUGGGCUGCUGUCGACAUCCCAUGCGGAGUUAUCCGCGAGGGAGCCCUUCCUCCUCUUGGACACCUCUCCUCCAGAUUUGUGGAGGCCGCCCUCUUCUUCCUUCCCCCUCAUGGGGAGAGUUGCUUUCCUCCUCCUCUUCAUCCUUGGCGGUGAAGGAGUGAGUCUCGGUGUAUUUGGACGUCAUGUUCGAAGCACCCUUGCGACGGAGGCCACCUCUAGUUCCCUUGGCCUUCUUCUCCGACGCUUGAUAGGGCGCCGGAACCAACAUCUUUGUCAGAAGUGGAAUUUCUGGGUCUUCGGGCAGUGGAGCCGGACAGUGAAUCCGCUCUGCCUUCUUCGUCCAGCCCUGAGAGAAUCAAUAGGGAUGCUUAGGCGUCUUCCCCGAGUAUGCGUGUAAAGGAUACACCUUGAAAACAUGGAAAAAUUUACCAGACUAGCGGGAUGGGCAAGUCGUGCCCACGGUCCUCGGCCGUAUUCAGCCAUGUUUCACUAGACUUGAAAAUCACCUUCCAGAUGUCUUCAUGCGUGGUGCUGAAGAACUGUUGCAAGAUCUGGUGCUUGGCCGGUCAAACUCCCACAAAUGGCAAGUCCGGCUUUAGCACGGAAGGAUCCUGCGAACAAGCAUCACCUGGAUCACAUUGAGGAGCUUGAUAUUCUUGUCUAUCAUGCUCUUGAUGUGCGUUUGAAGCGUCGUCAGCUCAUCUGAAGAAGACCAAUCCAGGCCCUUCUCUGGCCAGGAGGUAAGCCGCAUCGGGGGUCCGGAUCGGAAUUCGGGAGCCACGGCCCAGGGGGUGCCAUGCGGCUGUGUGACAUAGAACCACUUCUGUUGCCACCCUUUGACAGUCUCCACGAAGGAGCCUUCGGGCCAUGUGACGUUGGGCAUCUUGCUCACCAUGGCGCCUCCGCACUCUGCGUGUUGACCACUCACCACCUCCGUCUUCACAUUGAAGAUCUUUAACCAUAAUCUGAAGUGGCGUGGGAUGCGAAGGAAUGCCUCACACACGACAAUGAAUGCCGAGAUGUUGAGAAAGGAGUUGGGGGCCAGAUCGUGGAAAUCCAGCCCAUAGUAGAACAUGAGUCCAUGGAUGAACGGGUGGAGAGGAAAUCCCAACCCGCGGAUGAAGUGGGGGAUGAAUACUGCCCUCUCAUGGGGCUCCGAGGUGGGGACGAUCUGUCCCUUGGCCGGAAGCCGAUGGGCGAUUCCCUUGGCCAAAUACCUAGCCGCCAAGAGCUUGGCACCUGGAUAUGAAGAUUCCUUUCUCUGUAGCCGACUUUGUACAACCCUAGUCCCCUCUGGUGUCUAUAUAAACCAGAGGGCUUAGUCCGUAGAGGCAAUCACACUCAUAAUCAUAUAGGCUAGACUUCUAGGGUUUUAGCCAUUACGAUCUCGUGGUAGAUCAACUCUUGUAAUACUCAUAUUCAUCAAGAUCAAUCAAGAAGGAACUAGGGUAUUACCUCCAUAGAGAGGGCCGGAACCUGGCUAAACAUCGUGUCCCCCGCCUCCUGUUACCAUCAACCUUAGACGCAUAGUUCGGGACCCCCUACCCAAGAUCUGCCAGUUUUGACAUCGACAGCCAUCACCGGGAGUGGUCCCGAUUAUUGUCAUUUUGGGGUUGCCGGAUCAUAACACAUAGUAGGUGACUAUUGACUUGCAAGAUAGGAUCAAGAACUCACAUAUAUUCAUGAAAACAUAAUUGGUUCAGAUAUGAAAUCAUGUUACUCGGGCCCUAGUGACAAGCAUUAAGCAUAGCAAAGUCAUAGCAACAUCAAUCUUAGAACAUAAUGGAUACUAGGGAUCAAACCCUAACAAAACUAACUUGAUUACAUGGUAAAUAUCAUCCAACCCAUCACCGUCCAGCAAGCCUAUGAUGGGAUUACUCACCCACGACAGUGAGCAUCAUGAAAUUGGUGAUUGAGGAUGGUUGAUGAUGACGAUGGCGAUGGAUUCCCCUCUCUGGAGCCUCGAACGGACUCCAGAUCAGCCCUCCCGAGGAAGAUUAGGGCUUGGCGGUGGCUCCAUAUCAUAAAACACGAUGAAUCCUUCUCUCUAAUUUUUUUUCUGCCCGGAAGUGAAUAUAUGGAGUUGGGGUUGAGGUCGGUGUCAUCCCAGGGGGCCCACGAGGCAGAGGGCGCGCCCUGCACCCUCCUGGAUAGGGUGUGGGCCCCCUGAUGUUGAUUCUUUCGCCAAUAUUUUUCAUUAAUUCCAAAACGUGUCUCCGUGGAUUUUCAGGUCAUUCCGAGAACUUUUAUUUCCGCACAAAAAUAACACGAUGGCAGUUCUACUGAAAACAACGUCAGUCUGGGUUAGUUCCAUUCAAAUCAUGAAAGUUAGAGUCCAAAACAAGGGCAAAAGUGUUUGGAAAAGUAGAUACGUUGGAGACGUAUCACUACCGUACUGUGAUGUUAUAAUAUAUUUAUGUGCCUGAUAUGUAAUUGGCAAACAGUUGUUCGAUAUGAAAUGUGAAUUUGCGUAAUACCGGAAUUAUUAAUUGUAAACUAAUAAACCUACUAAAUGUGUCAUGGACCUUUUCAAACGGUUCUAGUAGUAAAAGCGCUUGCGAUGGAUAGCUCAAUGUCACACAGUUUUCUUCAUCAAAUCGUGUGUGAUAUAGUUGAUAAAAGCAAACAGUUAACCAAGGCAGACCGUGUGUGAUAUUUACACCUUUCACACACGAGCCUACACACAAAACUGGGUGGGAUGUACGUCUGAACGAAAACAUUUUCCCUGGAUUGACUGUGUGGGAUUUACAUAAGAACGGGAACGUAUUCCUUGGAUUGACUGUGUGUGAUAUACAUACGAACGGAAAUGUUUUUCUGGGAUUCACCGUGUGGGAUGUAAAUACCUAUGGAAAUGAUUUUCUCGGAUUACCGUGUGCGAUGUACAUACAUACAGAAAUGAUUGGGUUUCGAUGCCUCGCCUGAUUGCACACGGCCCCAGCCUGGGUCCCAGGAGGGCCUAUCCUCAACAAUUUCUGGGUCGUGUGGGAAGGACCCCCAUAUCACUCACUUGGUGACGGUUCCAAAUGCCAUCGCGGAAAGGGGUUUAAAACCAUUUGUUUAGGACCGACGCGUACCAGUGUCAUCUAAAUGAUCACGUGAUCCAUAUCAACUAAACCAUCUCCGACCAUCACGUGAGAUGGAGUAGUUUUCAAUGAUCACGUGAUCCAUAUCAACUAAACCAGUGUCAUCUAUGUUGAUCAUAUCAACUAUAUGAUUCCCAUUCGACCUUUCGGUCUCAGUGUUCUGAGGCCAUAUAUGCAUAUGCUAGGCUCGUCAAGUUUAACCCGAGUAUUCUGCGUGUGCAAAACUGGCUUGCACCCGUUGUAUGUGAACGUAGAGCUUAUCACACCCGAUCAUCACAUGGGGUCUCGGCACGAUGAACUGUCGCAAUGGUGCAUACUCAGGGAGAACACUUAUACCUUGAAAUUUAGUGAGGUAUCAUCUUAUAAUGCCACCGCCGUACUAAGAAAAAUAAGAUGCAUAAAAGAUAAACAUCACAUGCAAUCAAAAUAUGUGACAUGAUAUGGCCAUCAUCAUCUUGUGACUUUGAUCUCCAUCUCCAAAGCACCGUCAUGAUCUCCAUCGUCACCGGCUUGACACCUUGAUCUCCAUCAUAGCAUCAUAGUCAUCUCGCCAACUAUUGCUUCUACAACUAUCGCUACCGCUUAGUGAUAAAGUAAAGCAAUUACAUGGUGAUUGCAUUUCAUACAAUAAAGCGACAACCAUAAGGCUCCUGCCAGUUGCCGAUAACUUUUACAAAACAUGAUCAUCUCGUACAAUAAUUUAUAUCUCAUCAUGUCUUGACCAUAUCACAUCACAACAUGCCCUGCAAAAACAAGUUAGACGUCAUAUACUUUUUUGUUGCAAGUUUUACGUGGCUGCUACGGGCUUCUAGCAAGAACCGUUCUGACCUACGCAUCAAAACCACAACGAUUUUUCAUCAAGUGUGUUGUUUUAACCUUCAACAAGGACCAGCCAUAGUCAAACUCGAUUCAACUAAAGUUUGAGAAACAGACACCCGCUAGCCACCUAUGUGCGAAGCACGUCAGUAGAACCAGUCUCAUGAACGCGGUCAUGUAAUGUCGGUCCGGGCCGCUUCAUCCAACAAUGCAGCCGAAUCAAAGUAAGACGUUGGUGGUAAGUAGUAUGAUUAUUAUCGCCCACAACUCAUUGUGUUCUACUCGUGCAUAUAUCAUCUACGCAUAGACCUGGCUCGGAUGCCACUAUUCGAGAACGUAGUAAUUCAAAAAAAAUCCUACGAUCACGCAAGAUCUAUCUAGGAGAAGCAUAGCAACGAGCGGGGAGAGUGUGUCCAUGUACGCUCGUAUACCGAAAGCGGAAGCGUUUAGUAACGCGGUUGAUGUCACUACAAAAAAAGGACACAUCUGUGACAUUUUGGGCCGAACGAAUUUUUUUGUCAUACUUAUGACACUUCUAUGACGAUAAUUGUGACAAGACCCGUUAUCAUCAUAGAUGUAGUGGGCUCCUAUUUCUAUGACAAAAAACCAUGAAAGAAAAUGGGCUUUUCAUACUGGGCGGGCCGGAGACGCAGCUGCAUGAAAUUAUUUGGGCCAUCCAUGACGAAAAAAACCGUGGUAGAAGCGAGGGCGAGGAAAAUAUUGGGGUGUUCCCGGUUAUGGUGGGUGGUCGGGGCCAAGUGAUGCACGGAGGUUUGCGCGUUUCUCUCAUACACGCACGUGCGUGGGUGCGAGGCGUUGGGCUCUAACUGAAUCCGAGCGAGGCGUUCGCCUACUGAACCCGAUCGAUUGCACUACAUGCUAUGCGCUACUAAACCCGAGUGAUUGAUCGGUGGCUGUUAACUGAACCCGAUCGAGCGAUUCCUUCGCUACUGCUGCUAACUGAAGCCGAUCGAUGCUGCCUCUAGAUGNNNNNNNNNNNNNNNNNNNNNNNNNNNNNNNNNNNNNNNNNNNNNNNNNNNNNNNNNNNNNNNNNNNNNNNNNNNNNNNNNNNNNNNNNNNNNNNNNNNNNNNNNNNNNNNNNNNNNNNNNNNNNNNNNNNNNNNNNNNNNNNNNNNNNNNNNNNNNNNNNNNNNNNNNNNNNNNNNNNNNNNNNNNNNNNNNNNNNNNNNNNNNNNNNNNNNNNNNNNNNNNNNNNNNNNNNNNNNNNNNNNNNNNNNNNNNNNNNNNNNNNNNNNNNNNNNNNNNNNNNNNNNNNNNNNNNNNNNNNNNNNNNNNNNNNNNNNNNNNNNNNNNNNNNNNNUUCCCGGUGGGGGUGGAUGAACAGGACCCCGUGGUGUUGCCUCUAGAUGAACAGGACCCCGAUCGAUCGAGCUGGUUGGGGCUGGAUGAAAAGGACCCAGUGGAGGGCUGGAUGAACAUGACGACCCCGUGAAGGGCUGGAUGAACAGUAGAUGGUGGAGGGUUGGAUGAACAGUAGCCUGUGGAGGGGUGGUUGAACAGGAGCCUGUGGAGAGGGCUGGUUGAACAGUAGCCGGUGGAGUAGCGCGCGGUGGAGGCUGGAUGAACAGUCGCAGGUGGAGGCUGGAGGCAGUCGACGGUGGAGAUGAACAGUAUCCCGUGGAGUCCCGUUUUGCGGUACGCCACACCCCUCCCGAUGAACAGGACCCCCGUUUAGACCAUAGCGCUCCAACAAGUUCGUUUCCUCCGUUCUGCGGUACGCCACACCCCUCCCGAUCAACAGGACAACGUUUCGACAGUAGGAGGUCCAACACAAGUCCGUUCCUCCGUUUUGUGGUACGCCAGACCCCUCCCGAUGAACAGGAACCCGUUUCGGACGUGGUCGGUCGAACACAAGGCCGUUUCCUCCAUUGUGUGGUAUGCCAGGCCUCAUUUCCAUUGGUUGUUCUGUCUAAGUCGGUUGGCUCCCACGCGUAAUGUUGCCUCCCGAUGAACACGACGCAUUUUGUUCCCUCCCCAUGAACACAACGACGAUGCAGUUUCUCCGUUCUGGCUCGGCCAUGUACACGAGCCCUGGCCGUAUGUAUGCGCGAGUAGGCAUUCGAGACCCCGUCCGUAUGUACGUACAUGGUCAUAUUUUCUUUCUUGCACACUGGCCGAUGUACGUACAUGUACAUGCUACGUGCGUGCCUCUACUACGAUUAGUAUGUACGUACACGUUCGCGACCAGAAUGACAACGCUACGUACGCUUUGACCAGGUGGGUCCCGGAUGUCAGGCACUUCCUUGCAUGCGAAGAUAUAGCUGGUGGGUCCUAGUAGUCAGGGGGCGAAUCGUUUUUUCUUUUGCCCGGACACACUUCCUUGCGUGCGAAGAUGUAGCUGGUGGGUCCUAGCAGUCAGGGGGGCGAAUCAUUUUUUUGCCCGGAUGAACUUCCUUGCGUGCAAAGAUGUAGCUGGUGGAUCCUAGCAGUCAGGGGGGAAACGUUUUUUCGCAAAAUAUGGUGGCCCGUCCGGUGGGUCCCCGCUAUCAGGUGGAGGAAUAAUUAUUUUGCGCGUAAUAAGGAGGCACUUCCUUGGGGCUGCCGUGGACCCAGCUGUCAGCCUCUCCAUGCACAGUACUCUUCCGAUGGAAGUUACUUGUUGACCACAUUGACCAUGCUGCGCCGAAAGCACCAAGGUGGUGGACGACGGUGAAUCCUAGGAAGGGGACGACGCGGAGUCGGGGAACAUGCGGUAGUGGAGGCCCACGCGGAGAGGAGUACGAUGGUUCACUGGUUCGGCUGCGGUGUGAGGCUGCAGUCGCCACAGAAUAACAGGGGGUGUGGGUGAGUAGAGGGAUGGCCUAGCCAGCGGUGGGAGUAGUAGGGGACGGUGAGGCCUCCGCGGCAUCACAGCCGGCCAUGGGAGGCAGGAGCACGUGGCACGACCGGCAUUGGUUUGGGCGGCAGGAGCAAGAAGACCAUAGGUUGAAGAAGCACUACGGCCAUUGGAUGGACAUCGUACGGUCAGUGGAGCUAGAAUUAUUCAUAUAUUGAUGAAGUUGACAAAGCCCUCCGUCCCCGUCAACUUAGCAGGCCCACAAGUCAGCCUCCCACUAUGCUGGGUCCCAGCUGGGAGGGGGUAUUCAUUUUUUUGUGUGCAAUAAGGAGGCACUUCCUUGCGUGCGAAGAUAUAGUUCGUGGGUCCGACCUGUCAGUGAAGGGAACUUUUUUUUCGUGAAAUAGAGAGGCCCUUCUGGUGGGUCCCAGAUGUCAGGUGGAGGAAUCAUUAUUUUGCAUGUAAUAAGGAGGCAUUUCCUUGUGUGCGGUCGUGGACCCAGCUGUCAGCCUCUCCACGUACAGUCCACUUCCGAUGGAUGUCGUUCAUUGACCACAUUGACCAUGCUGCGCUGAGAGCACCGGGGCGGUGGCCGACAGCGAGGCCUAUGAAGGGAACGACACGAAGCCGGGGAAGACACGACAGUGGCUGCCCACACGAUGGAGAGUAUGAGGGUUGACUGGUUCGGCUGCCAUCGCCAGAAAAUAACAGGAGGUGUGGGUGAGUAGAGGGAUAGACAGGCCAGGGAUGCGAGCAUGAUGGGGCCGUGAGGCCUGCCCGGCAGAAUAGCCGGCCACGGGAGGCGGGAGCAAGCGGUUCUGACGGUGCUGGUUUGGGCGGCUAGGGCAGGAAGAUCAGAGACUGAAGAAGCACGAUUGCCGUUAGAUUGACAUCUAAUGGUCUGGCGCUGGUAGAGUCGAUUGUUGACUAGGUUUCUUUUUUGAGAAACCUUGUGUAUGCAUGAACUUAGUAGGCCCACAACUCAGCCUCCAAAUCUGUGGCACACAACAUAGAGCCCAUUUGCUAUUUUUAAAUAAUUUGCAGCCCAUUUGCUAAUUCUUAAAUAAUUUAUUACAACCCAUUUUGUGCCCAGGACCACGGUCAAAAAGUUGAACCUUAUUUUGCAUAUUUUGGCGGAGUCCGAACUGUUGUAAUCUCGAAAUGAUAAACAUUUUUUAAGAACUUACUGAUUUACCCAAAAAAAUCGUUUAGUUUUUGUAAGCAAAAUAAGACGUGGGACAAUUGAGUUUGUUUAAGGGAAAACCAGUGGUAAAAAAAUCAGCGCUGGGAGGGAAAACAACAACAAAAAUAAGGAUGUAAAUAUGAAAAGGGAAUUUUAUGUAUUUUCAAUAUAAUGAUACGUGUAUAUGAACUAGUAAAACUAUAGGUAGAUAUUAGAAAACGGAUGUAGGACAUGCGAUUCAAGAGGAAAAUAGAACUGGGCUGUGUGUUUGAUUCAGUAAAAAAACUGCCUGCGGAUGUUGUAAGACAAAAUAUAACAAAUGCUGGUGGGCAAUAGGCCAGUAGAUACCUGCUGGAUCUUUGUGCCCCGUUGUCAUCAUGGGUCGGGCCUGUUAAAAACAAAACCAAGCCUGGGCAGUCUACAACCCAGUUGAAACUUGCUCGACCUGAAAAAACAAUAUAUGUGCUCAAUAAACGAGAGAAUUCUGCAAGUAUAGACUGAUAACUGGGAUGCAACAGGGGUAUUGUUUUUUCAUCGUGAUAAUAAGUGCAUGCACUUGUUUCGAAAAAUUUGGAGAACUGGGAAUUCGAACGAUAGGUGCUUAUGCUACCCAUCAAAUAAAAAUCAGGUGCCUGAAAAUUUGUUUCAAAACAAAUGAUUCAGCUUUAUAUCCACGUCGACCCUCGACAUGAUAGUUGGAAGCAAAUGCCAAGUUCAUACCAAAAGAUCGUUAACAACAAUACGAACUUGCAGACGACAAGGUAGUACAAGUACCAAUACCAAACUAACUUAUAAUAUUUUUACUCCUGGCCCUAGUGUUCAUCUGGUAGAAAAUCUUGCAGAGGACCAGCUUCCGCUCCUUCUCUUGCUCCAGGUCCCCGAGGUGGUACUGGUGCAUCACCCAGUUGGUCCUUUGUUGGUCGAAGUUCUUGUUGGUGUGCAGCACCAGAACCUUUUUGCUGCCCGUCUGCCGGCCGUUGACCAUCACCGGCAAGGUAUUGCCGGUCUUGUGCCACAUCGCGUGCAUGCUGCACUCCAACUUUAUCUUGCAACCCGUCCACGUGCCCCUUUAGACGCCCUGGAAUUGCGCUGGAAGAGAAAAUGUUUGCGUAGGCCACUUAGUGUGAUACCUGCAGUAUUGUCGAAUAUAGGUUUUAGUGUACGUAGUUGGCAUUUUCAUAACAUCUUUGGCAUGUUGUAGUCACUUGUUUCACUUUUUAUUAACUGUCAAAUUGUAAUUGCUUCACCAGGUCUGCGUCUAAAUAGAAAAAUAGAGCUACAAACAAAGGAAUAUGUUUGUGCAAGUAGAUGGCUGAUCGGUGUCUUACCUGGAAGUUUCUCAGGAUGGGUGUAGCAUAUGACGUGCUCGCUGUCGAUGGUUGGUAUGAACAAAUCGAUGAGAGGGUGAGAUCUCGUGCUGUCAGCACUCACUUUCGCCUCAAGGUGCUCGAUCAACUCCUGAUCCAUGGAAUCGAACUUGACACCAGACGGCAGCACCGGCCAAUCCUUCUUCCACUUGCAUUCGUUUAAUUCCAGUUAUAUGUUACUCAAUGUAUAAUCAAUCGACUGUUUUAAGUAAAUGAUCAGAGAUUUCGACAGAUAAGUGGUACUCCAAAUCUGAAGUCCAGAAUACCCCAACAUGCCGCUGGGAUUCUUGUGUCACGUCACACGCAGCGUGUUGUCACGUCAAUUCAAUGUGUGGACAUGAUGAAUAAUUUGACCGACGUAUACUAGUACUGCUAUUGUACUACUUAAUAGUCGUAUUUAGUGUCACAUUUUAACCAUAGGUUUAACUAACAAGUACGCACUUGAAGCCUAAUUGAUAUAUAUAUAUAUAUAUAUAUACACACACACACAGACACAACAUCUCCAUCAUCAUUAUCAGUACAUCCUACGCAGGUGAGUUAGGAUGCACUUGAUCCCAGAAAGGUAUCUAUCCUUCAAACCAGAGGAGUGCUUCAAACGAACAACAGUACAUAAAUCCAACAAAAGAGGGUCGUGCUAUAGCAGCAGAAUACAUGGCUCAGUCUAGAUAUCAGUACGAAUCAAGUUGUGCAUAUUUGCUGUGGGCAUGAACCACAUCGCCGCAUGUUGGGUUUGCAAAAGCCAUCCAUCGCAUGGAAGCUUGAUGCCUUUCACACACUGAAGAUUAUCUGGCAACAAGCUGUGUUGACGAAUCUCUGGAUAUGGUGAUUCAUGAAACCCAUGGUAUGA
This 35205-nucleotide long non-coding RNA is filed under the name Triticum aestivum (bread wheat). RNAcentral describes it as "long non-coding RNA (TAES_LNC027576)". The stretch from base 23120 to 23188 matches the Rfam family "tRNA". The record is from RNAcentral. Lineage: Eukaryota; Viridiplantae; Streptophyta; Magnoliopsida; Poales; Poaceae.